Long non-coding RNA from Eurytemora carolleeae, 189 nucleotides. RefSeq lists it as uncharacterized. NCBI's taxonomy places the organism in Eukaryota, Metazoa, Arthropoda, Copepoda, Calanoida, Temoridae. The transcript has 3 exons. The record is from RefSeq and is a predicted model, not a curated record.
AGCUGAUAAAUUUCAGAAAAAAAUGUUUAUUUUGUAUUAAGCAUGUCUUCCACUGCCUUGAGUCAUAGACAGAAAACAGAUCUUGUUCUGAAUCUUCUGCUGGCAGGAAUAGUACUAGUUUGCUGGGUAUACAUGAUCAAGGUUGGAAUGGUUGUUACGGAAAGAUACUUGGAGACUAUUCGACCCAGG